UGGGGGAAACCCUGAUGCAGCGACGCCGCGUGGAGGAAGAAGGUCUUCGGAUUGUAAACUCCUGUUGUUGGGGAAGAUAAUGACGGUACCCAACAAGGAAGUGACGGCUAACUACGUGCCGGCAGCCGCGGUAAAACGUAGGUCACAAGCGUUGUCCGGAAUUACUGGGUGUAAGGGGAGCGCAGGCGGGAAGACAAGUUGGAAGUGAAAUCUAUGGGCUCAACCCAUAAACUGCUUUCAAAACUGUUUUUCUUGAGUAGUGCAGAGGUAGGCGGAAUUCCCGGUGUAGCGGUGGAAUGCGUAGAUAUCGGGAGGAACACCAGUGGCGAAGGCGGCCUACUGGGCACCAACUGACGCUGAGGCUCGAAAGUGUGGGUAGCAAACAGGAUUAGAUACCCUGGUAGUCCGCACCGUAAACGAUGAUUACUAGGUGUUGGAGGAUUGACCCCUUCAGUGCCGCAGUUAACACAAUAAGUAAUCCACCUGGGGAGUACGACCGCAAGGUUGAAACUCAAAGGAAUUGACGGGGGCCCGCACAAGCAGUGGAGUAUGUGGUUUAAUUCGACGCAACGCGAAGAACCUUACCAAGUCUUGACAUCCCUUGACGAUGCUGGAAACAGUAUUUCUCCUCGGAGCAAGGAGACAGGUGGUGCAUGGUUGUCUCAACGUCGUGUCGU
Molecule: ribosomal RNA, 677 nt
Filed under: uncultured bacterium
Lineage: Bacteria
Description: bacterial SSU rRNA
Rfam family: Bacterial small subunit ribosomal RNA
Source: RNAcentral